CCCUAAGAAGCUGCUGAGGACUGCAGCGCUAGCCUUUUAAGCUAGAGCCCGGUGACUUCCAACCACCCCUAGGGA
This 75-nucleotide transfer RNA is filed under the name Neobythites unimaculatus. Its description in RNAcentral is "tRNA-Lys". Lineage: Eukaryota; Metazoa; Chordata; Actinopteri; Ophidiiformes; Ophidiidae. The record is from RNAcentral.